UACGUAGGUGGCAAGCGUUGUCCGGAUUUACUGGGCGUAAAGAGCGCGCAGGCGGUCGAUUUAGUCGCGUGUGAAAGCCCCCGGCUCAACUGGGGAGGGUCACGCGAUACUGAUCGACUCGAAGGCAGGAGAGGGUAGUGGAAUUCCCGGUGUAGUGGUGAAAUGCGUAGAUAUCGGGAGGAACACCAGUGGCGAAGGCGACUACCUGGACCAGUACCGACGUUCAGGCACGAAAGCGUGGGGAGCAAACAGG
RNAcentral lists this ribosomal RNA (253 nucleotides) under uncultured bacterium. Its description in RNAcentral is "partial 16S ribosomal RNA". It matches the Rfam family "Bacterial small subunit ribosomal RNA", at positions 524 to 776 of the family's 1533-position model. The record is from RNAcentral.